GAUGAACGCUGGCGGCGUGCCUAAUACAUGCAAGUCGAGCGAACAGACGAGGAGCUUGCUCCUCUGACGUUAGCGGCGGACGGGUGAGUAACACGUGGAUAACCUACCUAUAAGACUGGGAUAACUUCGGGAAGCCGGAGCUAAUACCGGAUAAUAUAUUGAACCGCACGGUUCAAUAGUGAAAGACGGUUUUGCUGUCACUUAUAGAUGGAUCCGCGCCGCAUUAGCUAGUUGGUAAGGUAACGGCUUACCAAGGCGACGAUGCGUAGCCGACCUGAGAGGGUGAUCGGCCACACUGGAACUGAGACACGGUCCAGACUCCUACGGGAGGCAGCAGUAGGGAAUCUUCCGCAAUGGGCGAAAGCCUGACGGAGCAACGCCGCGUGAGUGAUGAAGGUCUUCGGAUCGUAAAACUCUGUUAUUAGGGAAGAACAAAUGUGUAAGUAACUAUGCACGUCUUGACGGUACCUAAUCAGAAAGCCACGGCUAACUACGUG
RNAcentral lists this ribosomal RNA (497 nucleotides) under uncultured bacterium. Its description in RNAcentral is "partial 16S ribosomal RNA". It matches the Rfam family "Bacterial small subunit ribosomal RNA", at positions 28 to 507 of the family's 1533-position model. The record is from RNAcentral.